CCUACGGGAGGCAGUAGUGGGGAAUAUUGCACAAUGGGCGCAAGCCUGAUGCAGCCAUGCCGCGUGUAUGAAGAAGGCCUUCGGGUUGUAAAGUACUUUCAGCGGGGAGGAAGGCGAUGGGGUUAAUAACCCUGUCGAUUGACGUUACCCGCAGAAGAAGCACCGGCUAACUCCGUGCCAGCAGCCGCGGUAAUACGUACGUGCCAGCAGCCGCGGUAAUACGUAGGUGCCAGCAGCCGCGGUAAU
This 246-nucleotide ribosomal RNA is filed under the name uncultured Pantoea sp. RNAcentral describes it as "partial 16S ribosomal RNA". The stretch from base 1 to 208 matches the Rfam family "Bacterial small subunit ribosomal RNA", at positions 338 to 539 of the family's 1533-position model. Lineage: Bacteria; Pseudomonadati; Pseudomonadota; Gammaproteobacteria; Enterobacterales; Erwiniaceae. The record is from RNAcentral.